AGAGUUUGAUCAUGGCUCAGAGCGAACGCUGGCGGCAGGCUUAACACAUGCAAGUCGAGCGGGCGUAGCAAUACGUCAGCGGCAGACGGGUGAGUAACGCGUGGGAACAUACCUUUUGGUUCGGAACAACACAGGGAAACUUGUGCUAAUACCGGAUAAGCCCUUACGGGGAAAGAUUUAUCGCCGAAAGAUUGGCCCGCGUCUGAUUAGCUAGUUGGUGAGGUAACGGCUCACCAAGGCGACGAUCAGUAGCUGGUCUGAGAGGAUGAUCAGCCACAUUGGGACUGAGACACGGCCCAAACUCCUACGGGAGGCAGCAGUGGGGAAUAUUGGACAAUGGGCGCAAGCCUGAUCCAGCCAUGCCGCGUGAGUGAUGAAGGCCCUAGGGUUGUACAGCUCUUUUGUGCGGGAAGAUAAUGACGGUACCGCAAGAAUAAGCCCCGGCUAACUUCGUGCCAGCAGCCGCGGUAAUACGAAGGGGGCUAGCGUUGCUCGGAAUCACUGGGCGUAAAGGGUGCGUAGGCGGGUCUUUAAGUCAGGGGUGAAAUCCUGGAGCUCAACUCCAGAACUGCCUUUGAUACUGAGGAUCUUGAGUACGGGAGAGGUGAGUGGAACUGCGAGUGUAGAGGUGAAAUUCGUAGAUAUUCGCAAGAACACCAGUGGCGAAGGCGGCUCACUGGCCCGUUACUGACGCUGAGGCACGAAAGCGUGGGGAGCAAACAGGAUUAGAUACCCUAGUAGUCC
Molecule: ribosomal RNA, 744 nt
Filed under: uncultured bacterium
Lineage: Bacteria
Description: bacterial SSU rRNA
Rfam family: Bacterial small subunit ribosomal RNA
Source: RNAcentral